RNAcentral lists this ribosomal RNA (292 nucleotides) under uncultured bacterium. Its description in RNAcentral is "partial 16S ribosomal RNA". It matches the Rfam family "Bacterial small subunit ribosomal RNA", at positions 505 to 796 of the family's 1533-position model. The record is from RNAcentral.
GUGCCAGCCGCCGCGGUAAUACGAAGGGGGCUAGCGUUGUUCGGAAUCACUGGGCGUAAAGGGCGCGUAGGCGGCCUGGCAAGUCGGGGGUGAAAGCCUGUGGCUCAACCACAGAAUGGCCUUCGAUACUGUCGGGCUCGAGACCGGAAGAGGUCAGUGGAACUGCGAGUGUAGAGGUGAAAUUCGUAGAUAUUCGCAAGAACACCAGUGGCGAAGGCGGCUGACUGGUCCGGUUCUGACGCUGAGGCGCGAAAGCGUGGGGAGCAAACAGGAUUAGAUACCCGCGUAGUCC